Long non-coding RNA from Apodemus sylvaticus (European woodmouse), 5344 nucleotides. RefSeq lists it as uncharacterized. The transcript is spliced from 4 exons. Lineage: Eukaryota; Metazoa; Chordata; Mammalia; Rodentia; Muridae. The record is from RefSeq and is a predicted model, not a curated record.
UACAAAUAUAUAAUUAUCCGUCUAUAAGAAAAGCAGUCCGCUUUUUGAAGGCUGUCUUUUGUUUCAUGUUUAUUAACAUGUAUCUGACAUACAUGAUUCACAGAGGUUUUAUGUUGUUACACAAACAAUUGGAUUGAGUAUAAGCUUGUGUCACUUUCUAACCUAUCAAUGUGCAUGUACAGCAAUGGGACCUUUGUAACUUCAGUCACUUCUAAUAACUUGAGAUGGGGAGUUCAACAUGGGGUUGAACGAUAAGAAAUAGUAAGAAUUCAAUGGGGCUGGGUGUAUGGCGCAACAGUUAAGAGUAGAGUGCUUGCUCAUUAGGUUCGGUGGUAGCGCCUUUACCAGCUGAGCCAUCUUGCCAGGCCUCAUUUAAUGAAAUCUUUUUUUUUAUUCGAUAUAUUUUUUAUUUUCAUUUCAAAUGAUUUCCCCUUUUCUGGUUCCCCACUCCCCGAAAGUCCCAUAAGCCCUCUUCCCUCCCCCUAUUCCCUCAUCCAACCCUUCCCACUUCUGUGUUCUGGUAUUCCCCUAUACUGCUGCACUGAGUCUUUCCAGAACCAGGGGCCACUCCUCCGUUCCUCUUGGACAUCAAUUAAUAUGUGGAUUAUGUCUUAGGUAUUCCACAUUUCUAGGCUAAUAUCCACUUAUCUUAAUGAAAUCUUUGAGAAGCUCUUUUAUUGAGUCCUUAAAACAUCUCUCAAAAAGUAUUUUUAGAACAUUCCUCAAAUAGUAUUUGUAGCAGCAUUAUUAUUCAUGUAUCAGAAGAAUUGUAUUUAUUUUUCAUUUCAGGUUAAUUUGAAGUUUUGGGUGAUGGUAAAAGUUACUCAGAUAUGGUAGUGUGUACCUGUCUGUCCAUACACUCAGGGAGUUGAGUUUUUAAACCCAUGAGUUCAAGACCAGUCUGGUAACAAACAAGACUUCAUCUCAUCAAUACCUUCAGAAGGAUUUUCUCUUCGAAUCUUGGAUAUUUGGAGUAGAAGCUUGGCAAUAAUAAAACACUACGACUUGCGAAUGCUCACAGCAUUCUCAAUGCUACGCUGAGUCCUCCACAUUUAUUAUCCAGUUCAGUUCUUACAGCAGCUCCAUGAAAUAUGUCGUUGUUCUGCCCAGAUGAGGGCAGAAGCUUAAAACUAUGACAUGGCAUGGAAACAGUCUACCCACUGUAGUGUAGGACACAAGCCUCUGCUUUAUGGUGCCAUUGUAGCUGUAAACGAAUCAGAGACGACUUCAGCUCAGUAUUCUAAGAAUACCUGGGUCACAGUCCUUCAACCAUAGCCCAGUUGAGGCCAUCAUUCUAGGCCAUCAGUCUAAGCCAUCAUUCUAGGCCAUCAGUCUAGGCUAUCAGUCUAGGCUAUAAGUCAUCAGGCUCUAGCACAGUGGUAUGCCUACCAUAUGCACUUCUUUCUAGAUAUCAGUCCUAUAAGCUCAGCCUUGGUUCAAGAAAUCCCCAGGUUGGAGUAUAACUCAACAACUGCAGACACAUCUAAAAAUGUGCUCCAGUGUUUGGACCUACACGACUGUAAGAAAUGUCUAUAGCUCAAAGCCAGGGUAAGUCUCCCAAGAUCAUCUUGCCUUCAUUGGUCCAUUCCUUUGGUCUUUAGUCUCUGUCAUUCAUUUCCCAUCUCAUAUACAUGGUAUUCUUUACCAAAUCCUCUUUUCAUUUCCUUUGUUGAUGUCAUUUUGGGGACAGGGUCUCAUAUAGCUCAGGCUGGCCCCGAGCUGCUCUAGAGCUGAGGAUGACUGUGAACUUCUGACCCCUUACUGUAGCCAUUUCUGGGAUUACAGCCAUGCACCACCACACUCAGCCAAACCAUGUUUCUUGAUUGAAAUAGAAACAUAUAUCUAAAUAUGAAAAACAUUGUUUGAAUUAUGAGUUAAUUUCUAGGGUAGCAGUAUGUGCCUAAUAUUUUCCCUUUCUUCUACCCACAGGAUUUUAAUCUCUGCUUUGGAUAUAUUGGACAUUCCAAAGUAUUUAUAAAUGGUUUUAUUUUUAUAGUUUUCAGAGGAAAUAUAUCCUGAUGACAGUGAUAUCCAGAGAACUCCAGAAGAUCAUUAUUGGAGAAAAGCUCUGAAAUAUUUAUUAGAUUUAUUACCGUUUGGAGUAAAAAUGGAAAAUACAGCUUAGUUUUGCUUUGAAGAGGAAAAGUUAUUUUUCAAUAAACAACUGCAUUCCAGGUCAUUUUGAUUUCUAUUUGUGAGUCUAUCCCUUAGCUCUGGGAAGAUUUCAUUUACCUCUUAUGAUGCUGUGAUAGCUUCUGGGUAAAGUAGACCAAGGAAAUUCUUCUUAUUGUGUUUAUUUUGUAUAUAUUUAUGUCACAUAAUUGAGUUGGAUUAUGUAUCAGUUACCCCUGGAGACAGUUUCUGGUUGUAUUUCAUAUGAAGUACAUAAGAGUGAUUACUGCAAAAACAAAAUUUCGGUGGACUCAAAUAAUAUAGCUGUAUUUCUAGUUUAUGUCAGAUCACAAAGAGAUGUUUUGAUAUAUUAGCAAUUUGGUUUGUGGUCCAUCAGGAACCACAACUUUUACAUCCUAUCCAUAUCCAAUCAGAAAGUAAAGGAAAAGAGAGACUCUGAAUGAAAGUUUAAACCAUAGAAUAAGAAGUCCAGGAGGAGUUCUGUCAUAGAGCAUAUACAAGGGGGGUGGUAAUGGCCUCUAACUGUUCGCUCAGUACCGGCAGGCGGGCAUUCUAGUAAGGACACAGCAAUGCCACCAUGAGGUGAUCUGCAGAAUUAGAUUUCAUGUGCAAUUUCUAUAUUUUCUAGAAAGAAUAUAUUUUUCAGAGCUAUCCAAAUGGCAGACCAUGACCUCAGAGAAAUAAAGACUAAGAUAAGACAAUAAAAUCAUACUGAUCAUAGCAACCAGCACCUGUUUCCCACUGACCUAUUUAUUAAACAUCAACUAUUUCAGGCACUAUUUCAAGUAGUCAGAACUGGGACCAUUUCAAAUAGGAGCUAUAAGGGGCUUUUGGUGAACUCAAAAUGAAGUGGGGGAGGGGUGAAGGGGAGAAAGGGCUAAAGGAAGAUUCCAGGAAGAGUCAUCCUGUGCCAGUGAAUAGAUGAAAGCGACACAUUGCAGUGGAAAAGACUACAGAGGAACAGUUUGGGGGUAGUUCAUGUAGUUAAAUCUGUGACACUUUGGGUAUCCCACUUAGAAGAGUCAAAUAUACAGCCAAAUAAAUAAGCCUGAGAGUCUAGGAAACAGGUCAGACUAGAAAUCUGGGAGAGUUAAUCAAAGAGGAAGCAUUGAAAAAAAAAUCUAAACAAGAAUGAGAUAAUCAGAGAGGGAGUCAACUCAAAUAAAGAGAGAUGGACGGAGUUCCAGGGAACUACUAGUAGAAAGAUGCGAUGGAACCAGAAAGGGAAACUUAGAACAAACUGAAAAUAAGGGAAGAGAAAGGCGGAAGCAACUCCAUCUAACAGCCAUGUUGAGUUAGGAAACAUCUUGCAAGGAUGAUUCAUUGUACUAGCAGCUAACUGAUUGGGGGGGGGGGUUGGAUUAAGGGAUGGUUCUAGAUUUAUCUAUGCAGAGAGUCAUGAUGCUCUUCCCUAGAGUUUCUUUGGUGUAGUGGGAGGAGCCUCUGAAGUGAGAUGAAAGAGAACAGAGAGCGUGAGCUUGGAGAGUGAAACUGUUCUAAAAGAUGGACAGUAGGCUUGCUUUUGAACUAUAGUGAGCAGGAUGGGAUGGAACUAGAGUGUAAGGAAGAGAGGAGACCUUGCAGUGGGAGCAGGGCCACUUAUUUUGGAAAAUCAGAUUAACAAUGACACAAACUUCCGCAUGGUACGUGGCAAAGCUAAAUGAAUGGUCUUUCCAGUGCAUUUUUGACUUAAGAUAUGAGCCAGCACAGGGGUGGGACUCGGAUAAAACACGGCCUCUAGGGAGAGCUGGAACUGGAGACUUGCACAUUAUGUAGUCCAGACUGAAACAGGAAGCCUGAUUUUUAAUAGCUUUGACUUACAAAAUUAAUAUCCCUCCAAAGACAAUUCACCUGUUGCCAAAGCUGGUGCCCGGCUUUGGAUGCUCACAGUGAGGCCUUUGGGUUUUGUUGUUGUUGUUGUUGUUGUUUCCAUAUUUCUUUUUUUUUCCUCCUUCUUUUCUAGAGGCUUCUGACCUUUCACCCUUGACUGCUAAAGGGAAGUCUAUCUCCUACAUGAGACAUUUGCCAAAUGCAAAAUUGAAAGAGAACAAGAAGAGGAGAGACAUUUUGGGUCGAAUGCAUUUCUCUUAGCCUCAGACUCCCCCAAAUCCCUUUGUGUACACAUAAUAAAUACUCUGUUUACAUCUUGUAGUUUAGACCACAUAAUUUUGAAAUCAAGCUCUUCAAAGCAUUCUCUUCUGGUUAGGCAAGGUUGGAAACCAGUUCUGUCAGAAGUCCAUAUAUAGCCAUUAAGAAAAAUUAGGUAACCAAAGAUGUCUAGCUCAUUCUAUCAUAAGCUCAGAUGUCAGUAUUCAGCGAGGGCUAUUGCCGUGAAUGGUUUUCUAACUUGUUUCUAUAACAUUUUUAUUUUCAGAUUCUACAGAUUAAAGUUUCCAUUCAGCAUUACUAAGAAGCAAGAAGUAUAGACAUCAUUUGCUCAUAAAGAGAAUAAUAAAAUAUUCAGUACUGUACACUGUGUAUAUAGAUAGUAUUGGCUGAUAAUAGGAUAAAAUAAUUUAAAGAACACUGUUUUGGCUGGUUUUGUGUGUCAACUUGACACAGGCUGGAGUUAUCACAGAGAAAGGGGCUUCAGUUGGGGAAGUGCCUCUAUGAGAUCCAGCUGUGGGCAUUUUCUUAAUUAGUGAUCAAGGGGGAGGGACCCUUGUGAGUGGUACCAUCCCUGGACUGGUGCUCUUGGGUUCUAUAAGAGAGCAGGCUGAGUAAGCCAGGGGAAACAAGCCAGUAAGAAACAUCCCUCCAUGGCCUCUGCAUCAGCUCCUGCUUCCUGACCUGCUUGAGUUCCAGUCCUGACUUCCUUUGGUGAUGAACAGCAAUGCAGAACUGAUCAGGCUCAAGAAACCAACUUGGAUCAGCUGGGCUGUUCAUGAGGAGUCUGCGCCGACACUCUGCUAUGUUUAGAAGGUUGAUGGCCUGAAGGUUACCCUGCAUGACACUUUGUUCCAAUUUCUGUGACUAGGGAGGCCAGGUAUAUUGAGGAUAGAGUCUAACUUAUAUACUCCAAAGUGUCUUCAGACUCACAAUUCUUUUUUCUCUGCCUCCCAAGUUCUGGGAUCACAGUCAGAUGCCACCACACCAAACUUAUCAUUCCAGAGGGAUAUGGGAUCAUCAUCAAAGAGGCAGGGCAACACGUGUCAGCCAUGGCAGCCAGAGUGGGAAGUUCACCUCUUCGACCUGAAGCAUGAAGGAGAUG